CCUACGGGGGGCAGCAGUGGGGAAUAUUGCACAAUGGGGGAAACCCUGAUGCAGCGACGCCGCGUGAAGGAAGAAGGUUUUCGGAUCGUAAACUUCUAUCAGCAGGGAAGAAGAAAGUGACAGUACCUGACUAAGAAGCCCCGGCUAACUACGUGCCAGCAGCCGCGGUAAUACGUAGGGGGCAAGCGUUAUCCGGAAUCACUGGGUGUAAAGGGUGCGUAGGCGGUAGGGCAAGUCAGAUGUGAAAGCCCGGGGCUCAACACCGGGAUUGCAUUUGAAACUGUCUUACUAGAGUGCAAGGAAGGAUAGUGGAAUCCCGAGUGUAGUGGUGAAAUGCGGAGAGAUUAGGAAGACGACCAGUGGCGAAGGCGGCUUUCGGGACUGUAACUGACGCUGGGGGACGAAGGCGUGGGGAGCGAACAGGAUUAGAUACCCCUGUAGUC
RNAcentral lists this ribosomal RNA (443 nucleotides) under uncultured bacterium. Its description in RNAcentral is "bacterial SSU rRNA". It matches the Rfam family "Bacterial small subunit ribosomal RNA", at positions 338 to 795 of the family's 1533-position model. The record is from RNAcentral.